RNAcentral lists this ribosomal RNA (507 nucleotides) under Triticum aestivum (bread wheat). RNAcentral describes it as "partial small subunit ribosomal RNA". Lineage: Eukaryota; Viridiplantae; Streptophyta; Magnoliopsida; Poales; Poaceae. The record is from RNAcentral.
AUGCAAUCUCUCAUCGUUGCUAUUAUAUAUCAUAUAACAGCAGCACGAAUGAUUCACACGACUCAAAGCUCUAUUGUGAUGGACUGCAACAGCAGCAUGGAUUCGGUACAGCAGAGGACAAGAAGGUCUUCAUGCCAGGCUCUAGGGCUGGGCGAGAGAACUUCUACUCUCGGUCGUGGUUUUAGUUUCCAUUCUAGCUCUCAGGUCAAGGCUGCAUCACGUAAGAACUGGUUCUGGUUGCUUCAUGCUAUAAAAAUGGGGCAGGGGGGCGACCCCCUUUCAUUCAAAAGAAGAGAAGGGCUUCAUUUCAUUCUCUUCCGUUGUUGGUUGUGCAACAGAGGCGGCUACGAAAUCGCCAUGGUGCAUGAGCUAAUCCAGUAUCUCACCAGGGUGCCCUCUCUCUCUCUCUCUCUCUCUAGGAGAAAGAGUUUUGGUCUUUUUGCUCCUACUCUAGCUAGCUGCAUAUAUACACAGUGUCGUUGUACCACGUGUGCACGCCCAUCGUAA